GGGGCCGUAGCUCAGUGGUUAGAGCAGGGGACUCAUAAUCCCUCGGUCGAAGGUUCGAUCCCUUCCGGCCCCA
Molecule: transfer RNA, 73 nt
Filed under: Actinobacteria bacterium IMCC26256
Lineage: Bacteria; Bacillati; Actinomycetota; Actinomycetes
Also listed under: 3 other names
Rfam family: tRNA
About the family: Transfer RNA (tRNA) molecules are approximately 80 nucleotides in length.
Source: Rfam by way of RNAcentral